GCGGGCUGUGACGUCACGCCACGCGCCGGGGCCAGGAGGAGGCGGGCGCAGGAGGCGCGUGCUCAGUGUGCUGGGUACCAGGCGACUCCGGGACAGGGGGUCUCGGCCGUCGGCGUCAUGGUUUCGCGCGUGCAGCUCCCGCCUGAGAUCCAGCUGGCUCAGCGCCUGGCGGGGAAUGAGCAGGUGGUUUUACGCACGAUGAGCUGCUGAAGGUGUGGAAAGGACUGUUUUAUUGCAUGUGGAUGCAGGACAAGCCACUCCUCCAGGAAGAAUUAGGAAGGACCAUUUCCCAACUCGUUCAUGCUUUUCAGACCACGGAGGCGCAGCACCUGUUCCUUCAGGCCUUCUGGCAGACCAUGAAUCGCGAGUGGACGGGCAUUGACAGGCUGCGCCUGGAUAAAUUCUACAUGCUCAUGCGGAUGGUCCUGAACGAGUCCUUGAAGGUUCUGAAGAUGCGAGGCUGGGAAGAAAGACAGAUCGAGGAGCUGCUAGAGCUGCUGAUGACUGAGAUCCUGCACCCCAGCAGCCAGGCCCCCAACGGGGUGAAGAGCCACUUCAUCGAGAUCUUCCUGGAGGAGCUGGCCAAAG
Molecule: small RNA, 588 nt
Filed under: Pan troglodytes (chimpanzee)
Lineage: Eukaryota; Metazoa; Chordata; Mammalia; Primates; Hominidae
Description: processed transcript
Source: RNAcentral